UACGUAGGGUGCAAGCGUUGUCCGGAAUUAUUGGGCGUAAAGAGCUCGUAGGCGGUUUGUCGCGUCGAAUGUGAAAACCCCGGGGGCUCAACCCCCGGGCCUGCAUUCGAUACGGGCAGACUAGAGUUCGGUAGGGGGAGUCUGGAAUUCCUGGUGUAGCGGUGAAAUGCGCAGAUAUCAGGAGGAACACCGGUGGCGAAGGCGGGACUCUGGGGCCGAUACUGACGCUGAGGAGCGAAAAGCGUGGGGGAGCAAAACAGG
This 261-nucleotide ribosomal RNA is filed under the name uncultured bacterium. RNAcentral's name for it is "partial 16S ribosomal RNA". It matches the Rfam family "Bacterial small subunit ribosomal RNA", at positions 524 to 776 of the family's 1533-position model. The record is from RNAcentral.